GCGUUGUUAGCUCAGCAGGACAGAACAAUUGUCUUCUGAGCAAUAGGUCACUGGUUCGAAUCCAGUACAAUGUGCCA
Molecule: transfer RNA, 77 nt
Filed under: Escherichia coli
Lineage: Bacteria; Pseudomonadati; Pseudomonadota; Gammaproteobacteria; Enterobacterales; Enterobacteriaceae
Description: tRNA-Arg
Rfam family: tRNA
About the family: Transfer RNA (tRNA) molecules are approximately 80 nucleotides in length. Their secondary structure includes four short double-helical elements and three loops (D, anti-codon, and T loops). Further hydrogen bonds mediate the characteristic L-shaped molecular structure. tRNAs have two regions of fundamental functional importance: the anti-codon, which is responsible for specific mRNA codon recognition, and the 3' end, to which the tRNAs corresponding amino acid is attached (by aminoacyl-tRNA synthetases). tRNAs cope with the degeneracy of the genetic code in two manners: having more than one tRNA (with a specific anti-codon) for a particular amino acid; and 'wobble' base-pairing, i.e. permitting non-standard base-pairing at the 3rd anti-codon position.
Source: RNAcentral